Molecule: ribosomal RNA, 508 nt
Filed under: uncultured bacterium
Lineage: Bacteria
Description: partial 16S ribosomal RNA
Rfam family: Bacterial small subunit ribosomal RNA
Source: RNAcentral
GAUGAACGCUAGCUACAGGCUUAACACAUGCAAGUCGAGGGGAAACGAUAUUGGAAGCUUGCUUCCGAUAGGCGUCGACCGGCGCACGGGUGAGUAACGCGUAUCCAACCUGCCCACCACUUGGGGAUAACCUUGCGAAAGUAAGACUAAUACCCAAUGAUGUCCAUAGAAGACAUCUGAAAUGGAUUAAAGAUUUAUCGGUGAUGGAUGGGGAUGCGUCUGAUUAGCUUGUUGGCGGGGUAACGGCCCACCAAGGCGACGAUCAGUAGGGGUUCUGAGAGGAAGGUCUCCCACAUAGGAACUGAGACACGGUCCAAACUCCUACGGGAGGCAGCAGUGAAGAAUAUUGGUCAAUGGGCGAGAGCCUGAACCAGCCAAGUAGCGUGCAGGAUGACGGCCCUAUGGGUUGUAAACUGCUUUUAUAAGGGAAUAAAGUGAGUCUCGUGAGACUUUUUGCAUGUACCUUAUGAAUAAGGACCGGCUAAUUCCGUGCCAGCCGCCGCAGUAA